GUCGCGGUGGGCGGGUUCGCGGGCGGCGGCGGCCUCCAGGGCCGCGAGGUCGGUUCGGGCCUCCUCGCGGGCCUGUUCGGCUUCGGCCUGGGACA
This 95-nucleotide transfer RNA is filed under the name Herbidospora sp. NBRC 101105. RNAcentral's name for it is "tRNA-Trp". Lineage: Bacteria; Bacillati; Actinomycetota; Actinomycetes; Streptosporangiales; Streptosporangiaceae. The record is from RNAcentral.